This 292-nucleotide ribosomal RNA is filed under the name uncultured bacterium. RNAcentral describes it as "partial 16S ribosomal RNA". It matches the Rfam family "Bacterial small subunit ribosomal RNA", at positions 505 to 796 of the family's 1533-position model. The record is from RNAcentral.
GUGUCAGCAGCCGCGGUAAUACGUAGGGUGCGAGCGUUAAUCGGAAUUACUGGGCGUAAAGUGUGCGCAGGUGGCUGAGCAAGUCGAGUGUGAAAUCCCCGGGCUUAACUUGGGAAUUGCGCUCGAAACUACUUGGCUCGAGUGUGGCAGAGGAAGGUGGAAUUCCAGGUGUAGCGGUGAAAUGCGUAGAGAUCUGGAGGAACACCGAUGGCGAAGGCAGCCUUCUGGGCCAACACUGACGCUCAUGCACGAAAGCGUGGGGAGCAAACAGGAUUAGAUACCCCUGUAGUCC